This 525-nucleotide ribosomal RNA is filed under the name Enterobacter asburiae. RNAcentral describes it as "bacterial SSU rRNA". It matches the Rfam family "Bacterial small subunit ribosomal RNA", at positions 547 to 1074 of the family's 1533-position model. Lineage: Bacteria; Pseudomonadati; Pseudomonadota; Gammaproteobacteria; Enterobacterales; Enterobacteriaceae. The record is from RNAcentral.
GGAUUCUGGGCGUAAGCGCACGCAGGCGGUCUGUCAAGUCGGAUGUGAAAUCCCCGGGCUCAACCUGGGAACUGCAUUCGAAACUGGCAGGCUAGAGUCUUGUAGAGGGGGGUAGAAUUCCAGGUGUAGCGGUGAAAUGCGUAGAGAUCUGGAGGAAUACCGGUGGCGAAGGCGGCCCCCUGGACAAAGACUGACGCUCAGGUGCGAAAGCGUGGGGAGCAAACAGGAUUAGAUACCCUGGUAGUCCACGCCGUAAACGAUGUCGACUUGGAGGUUGUGCCCUUGAGGCGUGGCUUCCGGAGCUAACGCGUUAAGUCGACCGCCUGGGGAGUACGGCCGCAAGGUUAAAACUCAAAUGAAUUGACGGGGGCCCGCACAAGCGGUGGAGCAUGUGGUUUAAUUCGAUGCAACGCGAAGAACCUUACCUACUCUUGACAUCCAGAGAACUUUCCAGAGAUGGAUUGGUGCCUUCGGGAACUCUGAGACAGGUGCUGCAUGGCUGUCGUCAGCUCGUGUUGUGAAAUG